CCUACGGGAGGCAGCCGUGGGGAAUAUUGGGCAAUGGGCGCAAGCCUGACCCAGCAACGCCGCGUGAAGGAAGAAGGCUUUCGGGUUGUAAACUUCUUUUAUCAGGGACGAAGCAAGUGACGGUACCUGAGGAAUAAGCCACGGCUAACUACGUGCCAGCAGCCGCGGUAAUACGUAGGUGGCAAGCGUUAUCCGGAUGUACUGGGUGUAAAGGGCGUGUAGGCGGGGACGCAAUUCAGAGGUGAAAACCACGGGCUCAACCUGUGGCCUGCAUUUGAAACUGUGUGUCUUGAGUACUGGAGAGGCAGACGGAAUGCGUAGUGUAGCGGUGAAAUGCGUAGAUAUUAGGAGGAACACCAGUGGCGAAGGCGGUCUGCUGGACAGCAACUGACGCUGAGGCGCGAAAGCGUGGGGAGCAAACAGGAUUAGAUACCCUUGUAGUC
This 443-nucleotide ribosomal RNA is filed under the name uncultured bacterium. Its description in RNAcentral is "partial 16S ribosomal RNA". It matches the Rfam family "Bacterial small subunit ribosomal RNA", at positions 338 to 795 of the family's 1533-position model. The record is from RNAcentral.